Molecule: long non-coding RNA, 1117 nt
Organism: Pomacea canaliculata
Lineage: Eukaryota; Metazoa; Mollusca; Gastropoda; Architaenioglossa; Ampullariidae
Exons: 3
Source: RefSeq, a predicted model, not a curated record
ACUGAGUUACUCCGUGUACUAGUACAUCUGAGAGGGGAAAGUUUAACCCUCGGUGGCAUCUGAAGAUACUUCAGGUUCCUCCAUCCUCUGCGCGUGUGUGUGUGUGUCGCUGUGUCAGCGCCGCCGUGUGUGCACCUCGUGUCACGCACUUCUUACCUUGUGACGGGCAGAUAACCCUCAUCACGUGAUCGAUCAGUCACCGCAGGAUCUUGCUGAUAACUUGUCACUUCUGUCCUCAGCGUCGUUCUUCUCUCCUUCGUUGGCAAUCUCUUGUCUUCAUGGCAUCCGGCAGCUCGGGUCAAAGGGCAGACAACUGUAGCAUGUGUUUGGCGGUCAUUCACGGGGAGAGAACCCAAGCGGCUUGCCUUGCUCUCACACCUUUUGCCUGCCGUGUCUCAGAGAUCUUCAGCGUGCCGCCAUGCAGCAACUUUCACUGAAAGUGAAAACCAGAGCCGAUGAUGUGGAUGAUACAGGAGGAAACAAAUACACCUUGACAUUUCCCUGCCCGGCGUGUCAUCGAGUCAUCAGUGUGCCCUUCGGGGGGUCUCCAAACUACAGACAGAUCACUUCAUUGGUCACGAUGACCGACACCUUCCCACGUCCAGACAACUGAGCUGUGAAGGUUGCAUGCAGGCUUACAAGGCUAGGUUCUCCUUCCCUGACUGUGGCAAGAACGUGUAUCACUGGUGUCUUCGAUACUAUCAGUAUCAUGAGAGUGAGGACUCGGACCUGUAGUAGUCCGGAACGUCCUUGACACAGUAUCAACCAUGCGUGUCAAGAAAUGCACGUGUCAACCAACGGGAUGAACGUGAGCGGCAAUAAUCUCCGUCUUCACAAGCAUAAGAUAACCAAACAUGUCUUUAAACUAACAACAAACAACAAAAGCUGCCAUGUUGGUGGUGGUAGGGACAGCUACAACUGUUUGUGACUAAAUGUUACCGUCACGUGAUCACUAGCAUGUCUGUUGCUAUAAAAGUUUGAAGAUGAACUCGCACAGUGGUUUCCACAACAGUGGCAACACUUUAAAAGUAACCAAGACCUCUCCACCAACAGGUCACUCUGAUCCCACAGAGCUGGCUCUUCUGAUCUCACAGUUUCUUUUUGUCUGGCCACAGAC